GGAAGUUAAAAGUCGUAACAAGGUUUCCGUAGGUGAACCUGCGGAAGGAUCAUUAAAGAGAAUAUGCCCUUCGGGGUAGAUCUCCCACCCUUUGUUUAUAUUACCUUUGUUGCUUUGGCAGGCCCGUCUUCGGACCACCGGCUUCGGCUGGUCAGUGCUUGCCAGAGGACCCAAAACUCUUAUUAUUAAUGUCGUCUGAGUACUAUAUAAUAGUUAAAACUUUCAACAACGGAUCUCUUGGUUCUG
Molecule: unclassified non-coding RNA, 246 nt
Filed under: plant metagenome
Description: partial contains small subunit ribosomal RNA, internal transcribed spacer 1, and 5.8S ribosomal RNA
Rfam family: Eukaryotic small subunit ribosomal RNA (bases 1-55)
Source: RNAcentral